AGAGUUUGAUCCUGGCUCAGGAUGAACGCUGGCGGCGCACUUAAGACAUGCAAGUCGAACGGAAAUUUAUUUGAAGUUUACUUUAGAUAAAUUUUAGUGGCGGACGGGUGAGUAAUACGUAGGCAACCUGCCUCAAAGAGAGGGAUAACUGGGAGAAAUUUCAGCUAAUACCUCAUAAGACCACACUGCGGCAUCGCAGAGGGGUCAAAGGAGUAAUCCGCUUUGAGAUGGGCCUACGGCUGAUUAGUUUGUUGGUGGGGUAACGGCCUACCAAGACUAUGAUCAGUAGCCGGGCUGAGAGGCUGGCCGGCCACAUUGGGACUGAGACACGGCCCAGACUCCUACGGGAGGCAGCAGUCGGGAAUAUUGGACAAUGGGGGAAACCCUGAUCCAGUGACGCCGCGUGAAGGAAGAAGGUCUUCGGAUUGUAAACUUAUUUUAUUAGGGAAGAAACAAAUGACUGUACCUAAAGAAAAAGCACCGGCUAACUACGUGCCAGCAGCCGCGGUAAUACGUAGGGUGCAAGCGUUAUCCGGAUUUACUGGGUGUAAAGGGCGAGUAGACGGGAGAUUAAGUCAGAUGUGAAAACUUAGGGCUCAACCUUAAGACUGCAUCUGAAACUGGUUUUCUUGAGUGCUGGAGAGGUAAGCGGAAUUCCUAGUGUAGCGGUGAAAUGUGUAGAUAUUAGGAAGAACACCAGUGGCGAAGGCGGCUUACUGGACAGUAACUGACGUUGAGGAGCGAAAGUGUGGGGAGCAAACAGGAUUAGAUACCCUGGUAGUCCACACUGUAAACGAUGGAUACUAGGUGUUGGCAAGCGAUUGUCAGUGCCGGCGCUAACGCAAUAAGUAUCCCACCUGGGGAGUACGACCGCAAGGUUGAAACUCAAAGGAAUUGACGGGGGCCCGCACAAGCAGUGGAGUAUGUUGUUUAAUUCGACGCAACGCGAAGAACCUUACCAAGACUUGACAUAUACAGGAAUAGUUAAGAAAUUAGCUAGUUCUUCGGAACUUGUAUACAGGUGAUGCAUGGUUGUCGUCAGCUCGUGUCGUGAGAUGUUGGGUUAAGUCCCGCAACGAGCGCAACCCCUGUUCUUAGUUGCCAGCACGUAAUGGUGGGAACUCUAAGAAGACUGCCGGUGACAAAUCGGAGGAAGGUGGGGAUGACGUCAAAUCAUCAUGCCCUUUAUGUCCUGGGCUACACACGUACUACAAUGGCUGUAACAAAGGGAAGCGAAGCCGCGAGGUGGAGCAAAACCCAAAAAAGCAGUCUCAGUUCAGAUUGAAGGCUGAAAUUCGCCUUCAUGAAGUCGGAAUUGCUAGUAAUGGCAGGUCAGCAUACUGCCGUGAAUACGUUCCCGGGCCUUGUACACACCGCCCGUCA
RNAcentral lists this ribosomal RNA (1383 nucleotides) under uncultured bacterium. RNAcentral describes it as "bacterial SSU rRNA". It matches the Rfam family "Bacterial small subunit ribosomal RNA". The record is from RNAcentral.